Mus musculus (house mouse) is the source of this 7799-nucleotide RNA transcript. It is a transcript of the gene named collagen, type XXVII, alpha 1, with no coding region annotated. The record is from RefSeq and is marked reviewed. The transcript is spliced from 61 exons. Lineage: Eukaryota; Metazoa; Chordata; Mammalia; Rodentia; Muridae.
AGCAGAGGGCGGCCCGGCGCGGGGAGGAGAAGAAGGUGGAGAGCUGCGGCGGGCCGAGACUUUAAAUCGCCUUCAUUUCCCCCAAAUCCUUCCUUUUCCUCUCCUCCCCCAGGCCGGCGGGGAGGCAGCUUCCACCGCCCUCCGCGCGCGCUCUCCCGGCCUUGCUCUGCCUCCAGAGACCGCUAGCGGCCCGCCUCCAAAAGUUUGAUCAUCUCUCUCUCCCUGCCUUUUCUUGCUUCUUCCUUUUCGGUGGAAGCAGAAAAAGAGCGAGGCAGGGGCGAGCGCGGCUCCGGCAGUCCUGGGACCAUGGGCCUGGCGCGGGCGACCGCCGGGCUGGGGCCGUGCUGUCCGUCUGCUCCGGCGCCCCUGGGCGCAGGACUGGGCUGGGGGUGCGCCGGCAGCGCGCUUUGAGCCGGCCUGGCGCGGCGCGGCGGGGGGCUGGCGGCCCCAUGGGGCGCGCCCACACUUGCCCCCCGGGCUCCGCAGCAUGAAGUAGGGGCCUGCCAUGGGCACGGGAUUCGCGCGGGGGGCCCGAGGCACAGCGGCGUCAGGACCCGGGGGGGGGUUUCUCUUCGCCUGGAUCUUGGUCUCAUUUACCUGUCACCUGGCCUCCACCCAAGGAGCUCCUGAAGAUGUGGAUGUCCUCCAGCGGCUGGGCCUCAGCUGGACGAAGGCCGGGGGUGGCCGGAGUCCUACACCCCCUGGUGUCAUUCCUUUCCCAUCUGGCUUCAUCUUCACACAGCGGGCCAAGCUGCAGGCCCCCACAGCCAAUGUUCUUCCCACCACCCUGGGGCGGGAGCUGGCAUUGGUGUUGAGCCUCUGUUCACAUCGUGUGAACCAUGCCUUCCUCUUUGCCAUCCGCAGCAGGAAACACAAGCUGCAACUGGGUCUGCAGUUCCUCCCCGGCAGGACGAUCAUCCACCUGGGGCCUCGGCAAUCAGUGGCCUUCGACUUGGAUGUGCAUGAUGGGCGCUGGCACCACCUGGCCCUAGAGUUGCGUGGCCGCACAGUCACAAUGGUGACAGCCUGUGGGCAGCACAGGGUACCUGUCCCACUGCCUUCCCGUAGGGACUCCAUGCUUGACCCCCAGGGCUCCUUUCUCUUGGGGAAGGUGAACCCCCGUGCUGUCCAGUUUGAAGGUGCACUCUGUCAGUUCAGCAUCCACCCUGUGGCGCAGGUCGCUCACAAUUACUGUGCCCACCUGAGAGAGCGGUGCCGACAGGUGGACACAUAUAGUCCCCAGGUGGGAACCCUCUUUCCUUGGGACUCUGGCCCAGCCUUUGCUUUGCAUCCUGAACCAGCCUUGCUUGGCUUGGGGAAUCUGACCAGAACUCCAGCAACCCUGGGGGCCAGGCCUGUAAGCAGGGCACUUGCAGUGACUCUGGCUCCUGCCAUGCCCACCAAGCCCCUGAGGACUGUCCACCCAGAUGUCUCUGAACACAGCUCUUCCCAGACCCCACUGUCACCUGCCAAACAGUCGGCCAGGAAAACACCUUCCCCCUCCUCGUCAGCUUCCCUGGCUAAUUCCACCAGGGUUUAUCGUCCAGCUGCUGCCCAGCCAAGACAGAUCACAACUACUAGCCCCACCAAACGUUCCCCCACCAAGCCUUCUGUUUCUCCCCUUUCAGUUACCCCCAUGAAAAGUCCCCAUGCAACCCAGAAAACAGGUGUCCCUUCAUUCACAAAGCCUGUUCCACCCACUCAGAAGCCAGCGCCCUUCACCUCCUACCUAGCACCUUCCAAAGCCUCUAGUCCCACUGUGAGGCCUGUUCAGAAGACUUUCAUGACACCCCGACCUCCAGUCCCCAGCCCCCAGCCCCUGCGCCCUACUACUGGCUUAUCUAAGAAGUUCACUAACCCCACUGUUGCAAAAUCUAAGUCCAAGACGACCAGUUGGGCCAGCAAGCCGGUCUUGGCCCGCUCCAGUGUCCCUAAAACGCUUCAGCAAACUGUUUUGUCCCAGUCUCCUGUUUCCUAUCUGGGCUCUCAGACACUGGCUCCAGCCCUCCCUCCUUUGGGUGUUGGAAAUCCUAGAACGAUGCCUCCCACACGUGACUCUGCUUUAACUCCUGCUGGAAGCAAGAAAUUCACAGGACGGGAAACCUCCAAGAAAACCAGACAGAAGAGCAGCCCCCGGAAGCCCGAACCUCUCAGCCCUGGGAAGUCAGCCAGGGAUGCCUCACCAAGAGACCUGACAACCAAGCCUAGCCGGCCGUCCACCCCAGCCCUGGUCCUUGCCCCAGCUUACCUCCUGUCCUCCAGCCCCCAGCCCACCAGCAGCAGCUUCCCUUUCUUCCACCUGCUGGGCCCUACACCUUUCCCGAUGCUGAUGGGGCCUCCAGGCUCCAAGGGAGACUGUGGCUUGCCGGGUCCCCCUGGGCUUCCAGGAUUACCUGGAUCUCCGGGCGCACGAGGUCCUCGGGGUCCUCCUGGGCCGUACGGGAACCCAGGCCCACCUGGCCCUCCAGGAGCCAAAGGACAGAAAGGGGACCCAGGACUCUCACCAGGACAGGCUCACGAUGGAGCAAAGGGCAACAUGGGCUUGCCUGGGCUCUCCGGAAAUCCAGGACCCUUGGGAAGGAAGGGACACAAGGGCCAUCCUGGAGCAGCAGGGCACCCUGGAGAACAGGGGCAGCCAGGACCUGAGGGCAGUCCAGGGGCCAAAGGUUACCCUGGCAGGCAGGGGUUCCCUGGACCUGUAGGAGACCCUGGCCCCAAAGGCAGCAGGGGUUACAUUGGUCUUCCGGGGCUCUUUGGCCUGCCAGGGUCGGAUGGAGAGCGGGGUCUCCCUGGCGUUCCUGGCAAGAGGGGCGAGAUGGGUAGGCCGGGCUUCCCUGGAGACUUUGGGGAAAGAGGCCCCCCUGGACUUGAUGGCAACCCUGGAGAAAUUGGCCUGCCGGGGCCACCAGGAGUGCUCGGGCUCAUUGGUGACACAGGAGCACUGGGCCCAGUUGGCUACCCAGGACCGAAAGGCAUGAAGGGACUGAUGGGCGGCGUGGGGGAGCCCGGACUGAAAGGUGAUAAGGGUGAACAAGGGGUGCCAGGUGUGUCGGGAGAUCCUGGCUUCCAAGGAGACAAGGGGAGUCAUGGCUUGCCAGGGCUCCCGGGUGGCCGGGGGAAGCCAGGGCCUCUGGGAAAAGCUGGAGACAAAGGAUCACUUGGGUUUCCUGGACCUCCUGGACCUGAGGGUUUCCCAGGAGACAUUGGCCCUCCAGGGGACAAUGGCCCUGAAGGCAUGAAGGGUAAGCCUGGAGCCCGAGGCCUGCCUGGACCUCCUGGGCAGCUGGGGCCUGAGGGAGAUGAAGGACCCAUGGGGCCACCAGGAGUCCCAGGCUUGGAGGGUCAGCCUGGAAGGAAAGGGUUUCCUGGGAGGCCUGGCCUGGAUGGCUCGAAGGGGGAACCAGGGGAUCCUGGACGGCCAGGACCUGUGGGUGAACAGGGGCUUAUGGGAUUCAUUGGUCUUGUCGGAGAGCCUGGAAUUGUUGGGGAGAAGGGAGACCGUGGGGUGAUGGGACCCCCAGGUGCACCUGGACCCAAGGGGUCGAUGGGCCAUCCUGGAACACCCGGUGGUAUUGGGAACCCUGGAGAGCCUGGACCCUGGGGCCCUCCAGGAUCUCGAGGCCUGCCAGGCAUGAGGGGAGCCAAGGGGCACCGGGGCCCUCGAGGACCUGAUGGACCAGCUGGGGAGCAGGGAUCCAAGGGCCUGAAGGGUCGUGUAGGACCUCGGGGCAGACCUGGCCAGCCAGGACAGCAGGGUGCAGCUGGUGAGCGAGGCCACUCAGGUGCAAAAGGCUUCCUUGGCAUCCCUGGUCCCUCAGGCCCUCCAGGUGCCAAGGGCCUCCCAGGAGAACCGGGCUCUCAGGGACCUCAGGGGCCAGUUGGUCCUCCAGGAGAAAUGGGGCCCAAGGGACCGCCGGGUGCAGUGGGAGAGCCUGGCCUUCCUGGGGACUCCGGAAUGAAGGGUGACCUCGGACCUCUGGGCCCCCCUGGGGAGCAAGGUCUUAUUGGGCAGCGGGGAGAGCCAGGCCUUGAGGGAGACCAUGGCCCUGUGGGGCCAGAUGGGCUGAAGGGCGACAGGGGCGACCCAGGGCCCGAUGGCGAGCAUGGUGAAAAGGGCCAGGAAGGGCUGAAAGGAGAGGAUGGGUCCCCUGGGCCCCCGGGCAUCACUGGCGUCCCGGGUCGUGAGGGGAAGCCGGGCAAGCAGGGUGAGAAAGGCCAGAGGGGAGCUAAGGGUGCCAAGGGCCACCAAGGAUAUCUGGGAGAGAUGGGCAUCCCCGGAGAACCUGGGCCCCCUGGGACCCCAGGUCCUAAAGGGUCCCGGGGCACCCUAGGACCAACGGGUGCUCCAGGACGGAUGGGAGCCCAAGGAGAACCAGGAUUGGCCGGUUAUAAUGGACACAAAGGCAUCACAGGACCCCUCGGGCCUCCCGGGCCCAAAGGCGAGAAGGGGGACCAGGGCGAGGAUGGCAAGACCGAGGGGCCCCCUGGGCCACCAGGAGAUCGGGGUCCUGUGGGUGAUCGAGGAGACCGUGGGGAGCCAGGCGACCCUGGAUACCCUGGUCAAGAGGGAGUUCAAGGCCUCCGUGGAGAACCGGGCCAGCAGGGACAGCCUGCGGAGACUGGCCACCCUCCCCAGGAGAGAGGCCUGGAGCUGCCUUGAGUCACCUCACCUUGGUUUGCAGGGGCAUCCAGGACCCCGGGGGCGCCCAGGACCCAAAGGAUCAAAAGGCGAAGAGGGCCCAAAGGGAAAGCCAGGCAAGGCUGGGCCAUCAGGCCGGAGGGGGACCCAGGGCCUUCAAGGACUGCCAGGCCCCCGAGGCGUGGUGGGGAGACAGGGCCCUGAGGGCACUGCUGGAUCUGAUGGGAUUCCUGGCAGAGAUGGUCGGCCAGGAUAUCAGGGAGACCAGGGAAAUGAUGGGGACCCUGGCCCUGUGGGCCCUGCUGGGAGAAGAGGAAAUCCAGGUGUGGCUGGCUUGCCUGGAGCACAGGGGCCUCCGGGAUUCAAGGGUGAAAGUGGGUUACCUGGGCAACUGGGUCCCCCUGGAAAACGAGGGACAGAAGGUGGAACAGGGCUUCCUGGGAACCAGGGGGAGCCAGGAUCCAAAGGCCAGCCGGGUGACUCUGGCGAGAUGGGCUUCCCAGGAGUGGCUGGCCUCUUUGGACCCAAGGGCCCCCCUGGAGACAUUGGCUUCAAAGGCAUCCAAGGUCCUCGGGGGCCUCCUGGCUUGAUGGGAAAGGAAGGUAUCAUUGGCCCCCCCGGAAUGCUGGGACCUUCUGGACUCCCGGGUCCCAAAGGUGACAGAGGCAGCCGAGGAGACUUGGGACUGCAAGGCCCAAGGGGUCCUCCUGGUCCAAGGGGCCGGCCAGGUCCCCCGGGCCCUCCUUGGCAUCCCAUCCAGUUUCAGCAAGAUGACCUUGGAGCAGCUUUCCAGACAUGGAUGGAUGCUCAAGGAGCCGUCAGAUCGGAGCAGGGGUACAGCUAUCCGGACCAGCUGGCGCUAGACCAGGGAGGGGAGAUCUUCAAAACCUUACACUACCUCAGCAACCUCAUCCAGAGCAUUAAGACACCCUUGGGCACCAAGGAGAACCCAGCCCGGGUCUGCCGGGACCUCAUGGACUGUGAGCAGAGGAUGGCGGAUGGUACCUACUGGGUGGACCCCAACCUCGGCUGCUCCUCUGACACCAUUGAAGUCUCCUGCAACUUUACACAGGGUGGGCAGACGUGCCUGAAGCCCAUCACGGCCUCCAAGGCCGAGUUUGCUGUGAGUCGGGUCCAGAUGAAUUUCUUGCACCUGCUGAGCUCUGAGGGGACACAGCAUAUCACAAUCCACUGUCUGAACAUGACGGUGUGGCAGGAGGGACCGGGACGCUCCUCUGCCAGACAGGCUGUGCGCUUCCGUGCCUGGAACGGACAGGUCUUCGAAGCUGGGGGUCAGUUCAGGCCAGAGGUGUCUAUGGAUGGCUGCAAGGUCCAUGAUGGCCGCUGGCAUCAGACACUGUUCACCUUCCGGACCCAGGACCCCCAGCAGCUGCCCAUCGUCAGUGUGGACAAUCUCCCGCCUGUCUCAUCAGGGAAGCAGUACCGCCUGGAAGUUGGACCUGCGUGCUUCCUCUGACCUCUGACCUCUAGGCUCAUCUAAGCCUUGUGGGGAAAGGGAAGAGAUGGGGACAGCUGGUCCCAGGAGAUGCAGGCCCUUGCCUUAGGAUCCUGGUGCAGGUCCUAGUUGUUAUCUGCUCAGCCGGAGUUGAGAAGGAGUAACAGGUCUGAGGCUGUCCCGGAGAACCACCCAUCCCAGCUCAGCCCCAAGAACCAACCAAAGAGCCAGUCAAAAGCAAGCUGGGUUUGCAGCCCACUCCAGCCCAUGGCCUGUUGCCCAGCUCUGUAGACAUCCCUGCUCCCCAGCUGCCCAAAGACCCCCUCCCCAUUGAUGCCACCUCAAGGAAAGGGGGCAUGUUGCCAGCUGGUUCCCGCUAGGGAGCUUUCGAUGUGCAAUAUUAGAAAGGAGACAUGGAAAAAAAAAGAGGAGGAAAAGGAAAGAAAUCUAUAUAUAUUAUUUAAACAAAGAGAAGGUGUGUUACUAUUUUUUUCACUUGGGAGAGGUGAGGAAGAGCAAGAGAAGCUGGGGGUGUGGAGAGGCAGGUCCCCCAGGCUGGGAUGCUGGCCCCUAGACUAGGGUGCUGACCCCUGGGCUGGGGUGCUGUGUGCUACCUCCCACUGUGAAAUCGCUGGUGCUCACAAUUGUCUCUUGUAAUGUAUGUGAUUUUUUUAAGGAGAAAAAGAAACUUAUUUAAGAUUCUGAAGGUGCUACUAUUUUCUGUUGCCACAGGCUUUAAAGAAACUUUCUGAAUGGGGCCUGGCCCACUUCUCUUUCUCUCCUCCAAAUGAGGAGUUAAAAAUGUUACUAGCAUAGCCCACCCGUGUAAUCCGUUGAAAAGGAACAAAAGGAAAAAAGAAAAGAAAGAAAAGAAAAAAAAAGAAAAAGAAAAAACAAAACAAAACAAAAAAAUCCUCCUAGAAACCAGAAGUAGAGAGAUUUCUGCUAAUUCUGGGCUUUGAAGCGUACGUCUUUUGAGGGGGCAUUUUGAUGUGGUCCUCCUUGCUUCUGGAGGGACUUGGUUCCCUUUAGAAAACCUGCCCUGGGAAAAGACUUCUUGGUUUUGAGGAAGAUCCUUGGUUAGCGAUGAUCUUGGAGGUGGACUAAGUCCAGAGCCAUCCCUGAAGCCAGGUGACUGUCCCAAGGUCUUCCCUCCCGGGAGCCCAACCUUUCGAGUGCAGCCAAACCUUACUGCUUUUACAACAUUGCACAGCUGUGUAGAAACCCCGUGUUCUUUCCCAUAGGUGCCAAUUUGGGUGGGGGAGGAAGGAACAAUUACAAGAUCCCCAUCUGUCUGCCCAUGCCACCUAAACAAGUCAGGACUCCAAUUGGAUUUUGAAGUUAUUUUAAUUAUAGAAUUAUUUUUUUAGAAGAAAGAUGGAUGUGAUAGUCUAUAUUUGUGUGUUUCUAAAGUUGUGUCUUGUGGGGGAAUUGGAUUCCAUUUUAGUUAUUUAAUACCUCACUCCCACCCACCUGCAUACUGCUUGUGUGUCCCGGCCUGUCCCGCAAGCCUAGUUGUGCUUUUUGUUGUCUGUUCCCCGUGCCCCCUCCUGUGUCUCACUCUGUCUUCUUGUCACUUGAUGUGCAUUUGCUGUUGUUCUUUCGUUUCUGUCUAAAUGUCAGUGUGUUCAAACCCCCAGAGGGUUCUGUUUUUCCCAUUCCCUUCUGGACUUUAAAUAAAUAUUUAAAACUGAGCAAUGGAAA